CUGGAUACUAGGGCUGUCAAAAUUGCUCAAAAAUUACAUUCAAAUGUUCGUUUGGAAAAAAAUCACGAAUUCGAACUAUUCGAAUAUCUGGUUGCCUAUUUUACGCAGUUGCCGUCAAUAUGUCAAUAAUGCGACAAAACCAUGGUUCAAAUUAGUGGGAUAUAUAUAUAUCCUAUAAACAGCCCAGUAACGUGGAGGCCUAAUCAUGAAAAGCCACAACUUUGUAUCGCUUGCAUUUCACCACCACACCUGCAAGCGCGCAAACUAUAGUAAUCUGAAGAAGACGCCCGCUUCUGAAUGUUACAAAGUAUGCUAGUGGUAACGUUCCUUGCUUUGCUUACCAUUUAUCGAGAAGGCCUAUUAAAAUCGAUAAAGAAAAAAAAUGCAUGUCGCCUACGUCUUCCACCAUGCCAGCGAAAGGGCCAGCACUACGCACCGUUCGGAUUCAUGAAAAAAAAGCUGUCUCGGACUUUGCCGAGAACAUUGCGUUAUAGCAGCUUUCACCAGUCAGACUACUAGCUCCCUGAGCUCUACUUCGGAUGCUUAUUGAAUGGCAUAGCCUAGCUGGAAUACCUAUAUCCAAGUACGGAAACCCC
Gadus macrocephalus (Pacific cod) is the source of this 596-nucleotide long non-coding RNA. RefSeq lists it as uncharacterized. The transcript has 2 exons. NCBI's taxonomy places the organism in Eukaryota, Metazoa, Chordata, Actinopteri, Gadiformes, Gadidae. The record is from RefSeq and is a predicted model, not a curated record.